Molecule: long non-coding RNA, 413 nt
Filed under: Trifolium pratense (red clover)
Lineage: Eukaryota; Viridiplantae; Streptophyta; Magnoliopsida; Fabales; Fabaceae
Description: long non-coding RNA (TPRA_LNC011641)
Source: RNAcentral
GCAAAGUGUAGAAGGAAAGGUACACAAAUAUAAGUUUCAAAUUUACCAUUUAACAAGGACUGUAUUCUGUACACUUCACAAUAAGACUAACAUCAGCUAGUGAAAAAAAAAAAAAAUGAUUCUUAUUUUAAGUAAUAUUAAUUAAUUACUUUGUUAGGUUAGUCAUUUUUUUUUUAUUUUUAUAAAUUAAGAAAAAGAAAAAUGACUAGAAAUUUAGAAAUAAAUAAUAAUAUAAGAUUACAAUAAAUAAAAACAAAAUUUUUAUCUAUAGAAUGAGGAUACACCCACCAACAAUCAACAAGAAGUUUCUCAAGGGCAAUGUUUCUGGUGUCUUAUUAAUAGCUACCAAUCCACUUCUGCACCCCUAGCACUUAGUAACUUGGACUGCACAACAGCCUGCUUUUAAGAUUAUG